GACGAACGCUGGCGGCGUGCUUAACACAUGCAAGUCGAACGGAAAGGCCCCUUUGGGGGUACUCGAGUGGCGAACGGGUGAGUAACACGUGAGUAACCUGCCCUUGACUUCGGGAUAACUUCAGGAAACUGGGGCUAAUACCGGAUAGGAAUCCUUGCUGCAUGGUGGGGGUUGGAAAGCUUCGGCGGUUUUGGAUGGACUCGCGGCUUAUCAGCGUGUUGGUGGGGUAGUGGCUUACCAAGGCUUUGACGGGUAGCCGGCCUGAGAGGGCGACCGGCCACAUUGGGACUGAGAUACGGCCCAGACUCCUACGGGAGGCAGCAGUGGGGAAUAUUGCACAAUGGGCGGAAGCCUGAUGCAGCAACGCCGCGGGCGGGAUGACGGCCUUCGGGUUGUAAACCGCUUUCAGCAGGGGCGAAGCUUGUGGUGACGGUACCUGCAGAAGAAGCACCGGCUAACUACGUG
RNAcentral lists this ribosomal RNA (465 nucleotides) under uncultured bacterium. RNAcentral's name for it is "partial 16S ribosomal RNA". It matches the Rfam family "Bacterial small subunit ribosomal RNA", at positions 28 to 507 of the family's 1533-position model. The record is from RNAcentral.